UAGAGCAACGUUCUUCUCGGCAAGACACAAAAUCGUAAUUCAAUUUCUCAACCUCUGAAUCUCAAAUCUCCGAUUCGAAAUCCGGCGAACAUGGUGAGAGAUAUUGAGGCUGAGAUUAUAGACGACCAAUGAUCAUGGUGAGAGAUAUUGAGGUUGAGAUUAGAGACGACCAAUGAUCAUGGUAGCGAAGCAUUCUUCGUCAAAGUCUCUGACUCUCCCCACGCCACUUACGUUCCGAUGAAAUCCAAAUACGGCAGUUUGUUUACAUUCGCGGUGGUCUACACAUUGAGAAAGGUUGCUCUGUUCCUGUAAUCCGUGGGUUGAAACCAGUCCCCAAGCGGAGGCUCUGUGUUGGAAACCCUAGUGAUCUUGAUUCUAGCGACUUGCUGGUUCCUUUCACCGUGGCCUCUGUUUCGCCGACGACGAAAAAGAAGAAUCUUGUUGAGAUGAGGAUGAGUUUGGAUUCCACGAGAAGGAGUUGUUGGGAUCAGAUUCCUCCGGUGAUUCAUCGCCGUGACGCCGCAUUGCUUCUUUCUUCACCACGUCUCAAACCCAAAUCGGGGGUUAGGGCCUUACUCUGCACCUAUCAAGAAAGCUGAGAAAGAGAUUUAAGGAACUCGCCAAGAAGUUCAACGAUCUAUGUGGUAUCAAGGAGUCUGAUACUGGUUUAGCUCGUCCCAGUCAAUGGGAUCUUGUAUUUGAUAAGCAAAUAAUGCAAGAGGAGCAACCUCUGCAGGUUGCGAGAUGCACAAAGAUAUAUACCUUGUCAAAUACGAGAUCAGUGUCAAUCAAAUUGCGAAGGAGUAUCCGGUGCUGUUGGUUCCUGAGGACAAAAGUGAAAAACCAUCUGUUGCAAUUAUUAAGAUGGAAGCAUGCUGUUUCUGGGUAUGUCUACUAAUCUGGACAUGUUAUUCCCGAGAUACAAAGUUGUGAUCUGUUGAGAAGACAAAACAGAUCCGUUUGAAGGAAUAUUUUGUUUCGAUUCUAAUCCUUGGGAAGCUUGUCUCCGCUUCAACGAGGUAUUUCUUUUUAUUUCUAGUUUUUUUUGUUUAUCUUUAAAACCCAAAAAUGAUCUAAUACAUAAAAAUACACAA
Long non-coding RNA from Capsella rubella, 1094 nucleotides. RefSeq lists it as uncharacterized. The transcript has 8 exons. The record is from RefSeq and is a predicted model, not a curated record. Lineage: Eukaryota; Viridiplantae; Streptophyta; Magnoliopsida; Brassicales; Brassicaceae.